UGUAUAGACUGCAUUUGCUUGCUGACAGCCAUUUGAGGGAGACACACAUCAUGAUGCAUUGUAUCGGAGGUCGUUCCUGCCUUUCCUGCAAACACACACACUUCCUGCAGCUGGUCUGACACAAAACAAGGCACAAGAAUGAAGGCACAAAAAACCAAACUAGGAGAUUAAACAGAGAAAGAGAUGACUACAACAGACUGGGAUAGUCGUGAAAGUCAACAAACACAUGGAAACAGGGAUGUGCUUUUGAAAACUAUUGAUAAAGAAAAAAAUAUAAUGUGUCCUGCAACAGGAUAGAUAGAUGAUAUAUACAACACCAAGUGCUUAAACGUCACUCUACUUUCCUGUAUCCAUACAGUACAAAGGGUCAGCCAACAACUAAGGAAUCCACAUUUAGUAUGGGUGGGGAACAGUCAUAUUUCAAAACCUAUGUACAGUACAUGUGAAACUCAGUCUAUAAA
Pseudophryne corroboree (corroboree frog) is the source of this 461-nucleotide long non-coding RNA. RefSeq lists it as uncharacterized. NCBI's taxonomy places the organism in Eukaryota, Metazoa, Chordata, Amphibia, Anura, Myobatrachidae. The transcript has 3 exons. The record is from RefSeq and is a predicted model, not a curated record.